GACGAACGCUGGCGGCGUGCUUAACACAUGCAAGUCGAACGGAAAGGCCCUGCUUUUGUGGGGUGCUCGAGUGGCGAACGGGUGAGUAACACGUGAGUAACCUGCCCUUGACUUUGGGAUAACUUCAGGAAACUGGGGCUAAUACCGGAUAGGAGCUCCUGCUGCAUGGUGGGGGUUGGAAAGUUUCGGCGGUUGGGGAUGGACUCGCGGCUUAUCAGCUUGUUGGUGGGGUAGUGGCUUACCAAGGCUUUGACGGGUAGCCGGCCUGAGGGGGUGACCGGCCACAUUGGGACUGAGAUACGGCCCAGACUCCUACGGGAGGCAGCAGUGGGGAAUAUUGCACAAUGGGCGGAAGCCUGAUGCAGCAACGCCACGUGCGGGAUGACGGCCUUCGGGUUGUAAACCGCUUUCGCCUGUGACGAAGCGUGAGUGACGGUAAUGGGUAAAGAAGCACCGGCUAACUACGUG
This 468-nucleotide ribosomal RNA is filed under the name uncultured bacterium. RNAcentral describes it as "partial 16S ribosomal RNA". It matches the Rfam family "Bacterial small subunit ribosomal RNA", at positions 28 to 507 of the family's 1533-position model. The record is from RNAcentral.